This 1753-nucleotide long non-coding RNA is filed under the name Gossypium raimondii (Peruvian cotton). Its description in RNAcentral is "long non-coding RNA (GRAI_LNC000866)". Lineage: Eukaryota; Viridiplantae; Streptophyta; Magnoliopsida; Malvales; Malvaceae. The record is from RNAcentral.
GGUAAAAUUGCUAAAGUAAAGAAUAUUCACUUGAAAACACAGAGAAAAGCGGAAGGACUAGGGUAGCAAUUAUACCCUAGUCACAAAACACGCGAAUCCUCCUGGUAAACGGGUCGGGUCGUGCACGGGUCACGCAGAACGACGCCGUUUUAGCGCUAAAAACCCCUGAACGAAACGGCGGCGUUUUGUAAUAGUAUAAAAACUAAAAUUUUUUAAAGAAUCCUCAUUUCUCCUUUUAUUUCAAAAAAAACGACUAGAGAGUGAUUCUCUCUCAGCCUUCCCCCUAGAUCGGCCUAGGUCUCCGAUGGAGGGCUCCGGCGCACCUACACCAUAGCUCUGCCGCAAGCGGCGGCCGGAGGUGCAAAAUCGGCCCUUUCUUAGCCCUGUUUAAAGCUCGUCACCCCUAGAACCCGGAUUCAAGGUUGAAUCCUUGGAAAAGUGGCCACGAACCCUAGAACAGAAGGGAAACCGUUCGGCUUCUCCUCUGGCACGGCGCAGGUAAGGCUUUCCCCUCUUUUUUUUCGAUUUAUAGAUGCGUAUAUAAAAUAAAAAUAAAAACAAAAUAUUGAAAAAAAAAUGAAAGAUUCGGACCUUAAAACUUUCUCAGAAUUCGAUCUCUGUUCUUUUAUUUCUUUUUCUUUUUAUUUCUGAAAAAAAACGCUACAUUUGUUUGGUUUUUGGGCUUAUAUAGCCAAAUACAUCUUUUUUGCUACUGUUUGUUUCUGCUAUCUCUGUUUCUGUCUAUUGGUUGCUGUUUUCGUCUAUUUUGCAGGUCAUGAGGAGUCAAUGGGCAGAAACCAUUGCCAUUUUGGUGCAACCUCGGUGAAGGAGUCGUCAUCGGGCGUCGUGCACGCCGAGGGCGCUCAUGGGGAAGUCUGCGGCGCAAGAAGGGAAGGGAAACCCUAGGGUUUCUGAAAAUUUUAAGCUCUUUGGGCUUAUCGGGCUUGAUUUUUUGGGCCAGUUAGACUAUAAUUUUUGGUUUAUUCUGCUGGUAUGGGCCCGGGCUGAAAUUGGGCUGUAAAUCCCUCAUUUCCUCUCACUUUAUUUAUUUUGAAAUUUUUAUCUACUUUUAUUUUUUUAUUUUAAUAUUUAAAAUUUAAAAUUUUCUAAUUUUUUUAAAAUCAAUUUUUAUCAUUUUAUAUAUAACCAAGGUCAAAUUGAAAAAAAAGUAUAAAAACGGAGGAAUAAAUUUAUUAUUAUACAAACUAAAAAGUGUCACUUAAUCGUUGGGUGACAAAUUUUUUUUUUCAAAAACUUUAGUAAUCAAAUUGUAAUUUUUUUUAGUAAAGUACCAAAAAUAAAAAUUUACUCAUAAUUCAAUGACUAAUUGUAAAAUUUACCCAUAUAUUGUUGUAUUAAUUGAAACCCAGAAAGAGCCAACGGAUGUCAAGUGGUGAAUUAGAGAAAAAAAAAGAUUUAAAUAUAAAAUUCGCCUUCAAACUAUAUCAUUUUUUUCAUUUAGGUACCUAAAGAUUUUUCAGGUCAAAAGUAAUACUAAACUACUAAUGUCGUCUCAUUUAUCUAAUAAAAAUGUGACACAUGAUACAUUCAUACUAAACGCUUUGUGUGGGUUUUGGGUAAAAUAAGAAAUUGAUAGUUUAUGUAUCACUUUUGACCAAACAACCUUUAAAUACCUAAAUGAAAAAAAUAAUAUAAUUUGGGGGGUCGAUUUAUAGUUAAGCCAAAACAAACAAACAAAACCAAGCAAGCAAUUUGCCAACCAAAUUGCUAAAUUUUUUUUCCUUAAACUAUG